Molecule: long non-coding RNA, 715 nt
Organism: Zonotrichia leucophrys gambelii
Lineage: Eukaryota; Metazoa; Chordata; Aves; Passeriformes; Passerellidae
Exons: 8
Source: RefSeq, a predicted model, not a curated record
CAGUGCUGGUGAAGCCUUUUUUGAGAAGCACACAGAAAAUCUGCCAUCCCAAACCCAAAUCUCCUUCCCACUGGCCACCAGCCUGAGCAGGAGCUGUGUCCAGGUGCUCCAUCCCAGCUCUGACUCCUGCUGGAUAUUUCCCUAUUCCUGAUCUCCUUUUUGGCAGCUGGGUGAGAAGGGAAUGCCACGGCCAAGGAGGGAAUGCCAGGGAGGGAUUGCCAAGGUUCAAGCUGAAUUCCAAGGGGACAGGAGUGCUGUGUGUCACCUCUGCACCAGAGCCGUGUUUGGGGCGAACCAAGACCUGAGCACAUCCUUUUCCAUCUCCACUCCUUUCCAGGGUGGGUUCUCCCAAAUGAAGACAACCACUCAGAAUACGUUCCCGAGGAGUUGGGCCUAGCAAUAUGGCAGCGCACGUUCCAUAGGAAACCCUGCAGAAUGCUGCUGCUGCUGCUGAGCUCCGUUCCCAAGGAGGGCACAAUCCCUGCCCCGCCCCGGCCUCCACCACUGCGGGCCCUGAGCUUUCUCCACCCCAAAAUUCCAUCCCUGGAUUUGCAAAGAUGCUGCAGCACGAAUUUUUUUGGCUGCUGAAAAACUUUGGGAGAAGCUGGAUGCUUUUAAGCCCUCGAGCAGCGUGGUGUUAACAUUCCCAAAAAAGCACCAUGGCAGCCUCUCAGUGCUCCUGCCUGCAUGGUCAGCAAGCAGAAGUCUCCAAAGG